RNAcentral lists this ribosomal RNA (405 nucleotides) under uncultured bacterium. RNAcentral's name for it is "bacterial SSU rRNA". It matches the Rfam family "Bacterial small subunit ribosomal RNA", at positions 355 to 774 of the family's 1533-position model. The record is from RNAcentral.
UGGGGGAUAUUGCACAAUGGAGGAAACUCUGAUGCAGCGACGCCGCGUGAGGGAAGAAGGUCUUCGGAUUGUAAACCUCUGUCUUUGGGGACGAAGAAAGUGACGGUACCCAAAGAGGAAGCCACGGCUAACUACGUGCCAGCAGCCGCGGUAAUACGUAGGUGGCGAGCGUUGUCCGGAAUUAUUGGGUGUAAAGGGUGCGUAGGCGGACUGGCAAGUUGGAUGUGAAAUCUCCGCGCUUAACGUGGAGGUUGCAUUCAAAACUGUUGGUCUUGAGUGAGGCAGAGGCAGGCGGAAUUCCCGGUGUAGCGGUGAAAUGCGUAGAGAUCGGGAGGAACACCAGUGGCGAAGGCGGCCUGCUGGGCCUUAACUGACGCUGAGGCACGAAAGCAUGGGUAGCAAACA